UACGGAGGAUCCGAGCGUUAUCCGGAUUUAUUGGGGUUAAAGGGUGCGUAGGCGGCCUGUUAAGUCAGGGGUGAAAGACGGUAGCUCAACUAUCGCAGUGCCCUUGAUACUGAUGGGCUUGAAUGUACUAGAGGUAGGCGGAAUGUGACAAGUAGCAGUGAAAUGCAUAGAUAUGUCACAGAACACCAAUUGCGAAGGCAGCUUACUAUGGUAUAAUUGACGCUGAGGCACGAAAGCGUGGGGAUCAAACAGG
RNAcentral lists this ribosomal RNA (253 nucleotides) under uncultured bacterium. Its description in RNAcentral is "partial 16S ribosomal RNA". It matches the Rfam family "Bacterial small subunit ribosomal RNA", at positions 524 to 776 of the family's 1533-position model. The record is from RNAcentral.